RNAcentral lists this ribosomal RNA (484 nucleotides) under uncultured bacterium. RNAcentral's name for it is "partial 16S ribosomal RNA". It matches the Rfam family "Bacterial small subunit ribosomal RNA", at positions 30 to 507 of the family's 1533-position model. The record is from RNAcentral.
AUUGAACGCUGGCGGCAGGCCUAACACAUGCAAGUCGAGCGGAGGAAGGGAGCUUGCUCCUGGAUUCAGCGGCGGACGGGUGAGUAAUGCCUAGGAAUCUGCCUGGUAGUGGGGGAUAACGUCCGGAAACGGGCGCUAAUACCGCAUACGGCCUGAGGGAGAAAGUGGGGGAUCUUCGGACCUCACGCUAUCAGAUGAGCCUAGGUCGGAUUAGCUAGUUGGUGGGGUAAAGGCCUACCAAGGCGACGAUCCGUAACUGGUCUGAGAGGAUGAUCAGUCACACUGGAACUGAGACACGGUCCAGACUCCUACGGGAGGCAGCAGUGGGGAAUAUUGGACAAUGGGCGAAAGCCUGAUCCAGCCAUGCCGCGUGUGUGAAGAAGGUCUUCGGAUUGUAAAGCACUUUAAGUUGGGAGGAAGGGCAGUAAGUUAAUACCUUGCUGUUUUGACGUUACCAACAGAAUAAGCACCGGCUAACUUCGUG